UACGUAGGGUGCAAGCGUUAAUCGGAAUUACUGGGCGUAAAGCGUGCGUAGACGGUAGCGUAAGUCGGGUGUGAAAGCCCCGGGCUCAACCUGGGAAUUGCAUUCGAGACUGCUCUGCUAGGGUGCGGAAGAGGGAAGCGGAAUUUCCGGUGUAGCGGUGAAAUGCGUAGAUAUCGGAAGGAACACCAGUGGCGAAAGCGGCUUCCUGGUCCAGCACCGACGUCAGGCACGAAAGCGUGGGGAGCAAACAGG
This 252-nucleotide ribosomal RNA is filed under the name uncultured bacterium. Its description in RNAcentral is "partial 16S ribosomal RNA". It matches the Rfam family "Bacterial small subunit ribosomal RNA", at positions 524 to 776 of the family's 1533-position model. The record is from RNAcentral.